UUCCUGCAGAUCCAGGGAGACCCUGCUCGCCGGGUGGACCCGGGGGUCCGGGGUGGCCACGAUCUCCCAUCGGCCCUGUCUCGCCCGUCGGUCCCUGUAGAUUCACAGAGGGAACAGAGCAAGGUAAACCUCGACGAAUGGGGCCAAUAUGAAUCCCCUUCCUACAGUCGAUAGCAGCAGUCAAGAGCUCACCUGAGGUCCGACCACGCCAGGGGGUCCAGGAGGUCCGGUCUUCCCUUGGAAUCCCUGAGAUGUCCAGGAAGUCCGUCUUUCCCUGCGGGCCCCUAGGAGACCAAGCAAAACGGCCGCGGACGCCAUCUGCUCCCUGUUAGGCAACGACAUAUCGUCAGAAAACGACGCGACAAAAAGCUGGCAGCAACGUCCGAAAAGAAGACCAGCCAGACCAUCGAACCCACGAUCUCCCUGAAAGAGAAGAAGAUAUUCCAGCACUUCUGACUGUGGCGAGGAGACACGACAAAAAAAAAGGAUCCAGAUACCUUCGGUCCAGACUGACCCGGCAUGCCUCUGGCACCGUCAGCUCCAGCGCGACCCUGUAAAGGCAGCAUGAGGACAGUGCCAGGGGGUCCUGGCAGACCAUCGGCACCAGGAAGACCAGCACGACCCGUUAGGCCCUGAUGGGUGAGGGUUUAGGGGAACAUGUCACUCCACAGACCACUGUAGCUUGGACCAUCUGAGCUCAAAACCCUUCCACUCACCCUCUCGCCUAUAUCUCCUGGAAUGCCUGGUGACCCAGAGGGACCUGGGGGUCCGGGAAGACCCUAUUUGUAAGCAAAAGAUCCCAUAAGACUCUCAUGUGUACACCAGGAAGCGUAAAUUAUUUGCAGCACAAGAUGUUUCAAUCAGCAAAGCAGUCGCACAUGUGGGAAAGGAAUGCGUGAGGCAACAUGAGAGCGGCGCAUCCUUUUGUGGGGCGCUCUUUGUUUUCCCUCUGCAGGGCUCCAUCUGUGAAGGGUGUCAGGAGCAACGGCCCCUUAAAAGAAAUGACCUAAAUAAUUGACAUCUGGGCAAGUCCCUCUGUCAUCUGGGAAAAGCUGCCGGACACGCCCUUUCGACGCAGCGAGGGGUUUGCACAGGAAGGCAUUAACUUUUUUUUUUGUUUCUUUCAAUGCGAGGCACUAAGCUAAACAGAGUGGAAGAGCAACAGGGAGAGAGGAGAGAAAGGACACGUUGAGGACGGUCUUCAGGCGGGUUGACUUACUGCUGGCCCCUCAGGCCCAGGCGGACCCUCCAUAAGCAUUCCCUGAAACGCACAAGCACAGGAAUCGGCCGGUUAUUCACGACGCACGUUCCUCUCUCCUCAUUAAGAAAUGCAUUUGUUCCUCAACACUUUGGACGCACAUUCCUGCCUGUCACUUUGCUUCAGCUGCUGCUUAAAAGCCCCGCGGUGCUCUCCCGACACGGGAAGCGCGAGAUGAUUCAUUUGGAAGCGGCGAGCAGAUCUCGAACCGUGAUUGUGCAUGCGGCGUCCCAACGUGUGCGUGCAUGCGUCGCAACCUGUUAGGUGGACUCAACGGUGCACUCCGUGGCUGUGGUUUGCUGGAUUUGAAGUUUGAAAUCGCGUCGUCGUACAUAAACACCAUAUAUAUUUACAGUAUAUAUAUACAGUACAGGCCAAAAGUUUGGACACACCUUCUCAUUCAAUGCGUUUUCUUUAUUUUCAUGACUAUUUGCAUUGUAGAUUGUCACUGAAGGCAUCAAAACUAUGAAUGAACACGUGGAUUUAUGUACUUAACAAAAAAAGUUGAAAUAACUGAAAACAUAUUUGAUAUUCUAGUUUAUUCAAAAUAGCCACCCUUUGCUCUGAUUACUGGUUUGCAGACUCUUGGCAUUCUCUCAAUGAGCUUCAAGAGGUAGUCACCUUAAAUGGUUUUCACUUCACUUCACAGGUGUCAUAGUUUUGAUGCCUCCAGUGACAAUCUACAAUGUAAAUAGUCAUGAAAAUAAAGAAAACACAUUGAAAUG
Nerophis lumbriciformis (worm pipefish) is the source of this 1983-nucleotide long non-coding RNA. RefSeq lists it as uncharacterized. The record is from RefSeq and is a predicted model, not a curated record. Lineage: Eukaryota; Metazoa; Chordata; Actinopteri; Syngnathiformes; Syngnathidae.